UUUGCCUCGUAUUAUACCAGU
Molecule: non-coding RNA, 21 nt
Filed under: Caenorhabditis elegans
Lineage: Eukaryota; Metazoa; Nematoda; Chromadorea; Rhabditida; Rhabditidae
Source: RNAcentral